Molecule: ribosomal RNA, 251 nt
Filed under: uncultured bacterium
Lineage: Bacteria
Description: partial 16S ribosomal RNA
Rfam family: Bacterial small subunit ribosomal RNA
Source: RNAcentral
GACAGAGGGUGCAAGCGUUAAUCGGAAUGACUGGGCGUAAAGGGCGUGUAGGUGGUAAUCUAAGUUUGAUGUGAAAGCCCUCGGCUCAACCGGGGAAGUGCGUCAAAUACUAGAUUGCUAGAGUGAGAGAGGGUUGUGGAAUUUCCGGUGUAGCGGUGAAAUGCGUAGAUAUCGGAAGGAACACCAGUGGCGAAGGCGACAACCUGGCUCUUUACUGACACUGAGGCGCGAAGGCGUGGGGAGCAAACAGG